UGGUAGACUACCACGUUGAUAGGCUGGAGGUGUAAGUGCGGUAACGCAUUUAGCUGACCAGUACUAAUAGACCGUGAGACUUGACCCU
RNAcentral lists this ribosomal RNA (88 nucleotides) under Nitrospirota bacterium. RNAcentral describes it as "Nitrospirae bacterium (hot springs metagenome) partial 23S ribosomal RNA". It matches the Rfam family "Bacterial large subunit ribosomal RNA", at positions 2838 to 2925 of the family's 2925-position model. Lineage: Bacteria; Pseudomonadati; Nitrospirota. The record is from RNAcentral.